This 391-nucleotide unclassified non-coding RNA is filed under the name uncultured fungus. RNAcentral's name for it is "partial contains 5.8S ribosomal RNA and internal transcribed spacer 2". The stretch from base 1 to 133 matches the Rfam family "5.8S ribosomal RNA", at positions 22 to 154 of the family's 154-position model. Lineage: Eukaryota; Fungi. The record is from RNAcentral.
UGGCUCUCGCAUCGAUGAAGAACGCAGCGAAAUGCGAUAAGUAUUGUGAAUUGCAGAAUUCAGUGAAUCAUCGAAUUUUUGAACGCAUCUUGCACCCUGGGGUAUUCCCUAGGGUAUGUCUGUCUGAGUGUUAUUUGAACUCUCAAAGCUCGCUUCCUUUCACGAGGUUGAGGCGCUUUGGAUCAUGAGUGCUUGCGAGCCUCGGCUUGCUCACUUUAAAUAUAAUGUGGCGUUCCUCUCUGAAGCUACUUUUAGGUUUGACCUGGAGUGAUAGAAGUCUUUCGAGAUCUCUAGGGAAUCAUCUCUCGAUGAUGCCUACUGUGGUGGGAGGGAAUGUCUGUUAGACUCAAUUGACGAUUUUGACCUCAGAUCAGGCAGGACUACCCGCUGA